AUCUUAUCAAGAAAGGCGGAGGGUUUUGGCCCUGUGAAGCCUUGGCAACCCAUAUUACGUUCACUCUGUAGUAUGAAGGUGCCAAUUCCAUCCUGAUUGCAUUAAACUGCAACGGGGAAGAUAAGUC
This 127-nucleotide non-coding RNA is filed under the name Sphingobacteriia bacterium. RNAcentral describes it as "SAM-I sequence". It matches the Rfam family "SAM riboswitch aptamer (S box leader)". From Rfam's summary of the family: The SAM riboswitch is found upstream of a number of genes which code for proteins involved in methionine or cysteine biosynthesis in Gram-positive bacteria. The SAM riboswitch acts at the level of transcription termination control. Lineage: Bacteria; Pseudomonadati; Bacteroidota; Sphingobacteriia. The record is from RNAcentral.